Long non-coding RNA from Puntigrus tetrazona (Sumatra barb), 400 nucleotides. RefSeq lists it as uncharacterized. The transcript has 3 exons. The record is from RefSeq and is a predicted model, not a curated record. Lineage: Eukaryota; Metazoa; Chordata; Actinopteri; Cypriniformes; Cyprinidae.
CACACGCGAGCAUGCUAAUCAGUGUUUUCAGGAAAAUUAGAAAAUCACAGGUUGGUGAGUUUUAUCAGGGUUGGAGCUUAACUCCGCAGAGAUCUGAUGAACGCGGUCUAAACGCAUUUUAUGCAAAUUAUCAGCGGUUACAACUAACGUUAAGUCGAUUUGAAUGUGCAAACAGCUGGAUCCAACUACUUUACAACGAAGGAAAAUGUCAUCAAAACUGGAAUUUUGCUGAAACGUGAAGGAUUAACAAGGGUGUUGCUCCAAGGACACGUACUUGUAAAUCAAUCUAUUAGCCAAUGAUUUUGAUCUUUUGAUGUAAUAUUUUGAAAUAAGCUUGCAACAAUUUACAUAUGAGUGAACAUAUUUUUAAAAUGUUUUCUAUAGAUUAAAAAAAAUACUA